CUCUUCUCUACACUUAAAUGGCGCCAAAGAAACAAGGCAGUAGAAAAAAAGGCUCUGCGGCUUCCUCGAGAAAGUCCGCCUCCACAUCGUCAUGCCACGCUACGUCAACUUCUCGCCACCCUACGUCAUCUUCUGCCCACCCUACGUCAUCUUCUGCCCACCCUACGUCAUCGCCAGGCCACCCAACGUCAUCGUCGUCUACCCACAAUGUGUCCGCAUCAACACCAUUCUCGACAUCACCACCGGUAACGUCGCUGCCGUCGGCCAGUUCGCCAUCGGCGUCAACAGUCACUACGACAUCCGUGUCCACCUCGACUUCGGCGUCCACGUCCGCUUCGUCCCUAACGUCAGCGAUGGCAUCUCUAUCAAUAUCCGACACCCUAACUCUUACCGACGAAAUACCAAUUAAGCUGAACGGCAAGAAUUAUCUUGAAUGGAAUGAGAAAGUUGAAGGUGUCUUGAAAGCCCGCAAUCUGCUACGGUUCGUGGAGAAGAUCUUCGAUCCUGAACCGUACGCAAGCGAAAGCGAUCGCACGCAGAACAUCGGAACCGAAAAGUUCCGGCAAUGGUUUGUUCAAGAUCAGAUGUUGCGCACGUGGUUGUUAUCGUCUAUGCGCGAAGACCUUGCUUCUUUGAUGGCCGGAUGCCAAUACGCGUGGCAGGUUUGGGAAACGGUGAAAGAACUCUUCCAUUCUGAUUUUGCGGUAAGGGUUUGGCGACUUAGGUCAGAGCUGGGGACAAUAAAGAAAGGAAAUUUGUCUGUGUCUGAGUACGUUGGCAAGAUCCAAAGCAUUGUUGAUUCUUUGGCUGAAACAGGUAAUCCUGUGUCUGAAGAAGAUCACGUUGAAGCGGUCUUGGCAGGAUUGCCAAAGGAGUUUGAGUCGGUCGUCAAAAUGGCGCGAAUGUUGGAGGGUCUCACUCCUAUCGCAGUUAGUAAUAUUGAAACCUGGUGCUUAGUCUUAGAAGAGAAAUAUACAAGUGAAUAUCGCCACGUUGACGGUGGAGGAGGCCCUUCAACUCAAGAUGACGAACCAUCUUGCUCCCCUGAGUGUUCUACUUCUGAAAGCGGUCGUGGAAGUCGUAGACGAAGAGGCCAUGGUCGCGGUGGCCGCCAUCGGGGCAGGAACUAGGUUUCUUCCCUCGGAUUAGCUUCUGGUUUAUUCUGCAUGGCGAUUUGGUCAUUUACGUUUUGUGGUCUCACUUUAGGUUAAUAGUCACUGUCUUACACUAGGGAAAUCGACACAGAAGCUUGGAUCCGGUCAAAAAGAAAUCGUCAUACUGGGAAUCUAAACAUGAGAUUGGAGAACUCGUCAAACAAAGGCAUGCAAAACGUCAUUUCUUGUGUGAUCUUAUGAAUGUAGUUAGCAGUUGCACGCUAUCAUUACUAAGAUAACCUUGUUUUGACUGUACAUUACACAGUACUAGUAUCAUAACUGCCUCGUGUGUAAUAUCAUUUCUUCAACUAACUCUGUAAAAUAGACAAAAACAGAUAGUCAAAUAUAAGAA
This is an RNA transcript of Vigna radiata var. radiata (mung bean), 1506 nucleotides long. RefSeq lists it as uncharacterized. The record is from RefSeq and is a predicted model, not a curated record. The transcript is spliced from 3 exons. Lineage: Eukaryota; Viridiplantae; Streptophyta; Magnoliopsida; Fabales; Fabaceae.